This 484-nucleotide ribosomal RNA is filed under the name uncultured bacterium. RNAcentral's name for it is "partial 16S ribosomal RNA". It matches the Rfam family "Bacterial small subunit ribosomal RNA", at positions 30 to 507 of the family's 1533-position model. The record is from RNAcentral.
AUUGAACGCUGGCGGCAGGCCUAACACAUGCAAGUCGAGCGGAUGAAGGGAGCUUGCUCCUGGAUUCAGCGGCGGACGGGUGAGUAAUGCCUAGGAAUCUGCCUGGUAGUGGGGGAUAACGUCCGGAAACGGGCGCUAAUACCGCAUACGUCCUGAGGGAGAUAGUGGGGGAUCUUCGUACCUCACGCUAUCAGAUGAGCCUAGGUCGGAUUAGCUAGUUGGUGGGGUAAAGGCCUACCAAGGCGACGAUCCGUAACUGGUCUGAGAGGAUGAUCAGUCACACUGGAACUGAGACACGGUCCAGACUCCUACGGGAGGCAGCAGUGGGGAAUAUUGGACAAUGGGCGAAAGCCUGAUCCAGCCAUGCCGCGUGUGUGAAGAAGGUCUUCGGAUUGUAAAGCACUUUAAGUUGGGAGGAAGGGCAGUAAGUUAAUACCUUGCUGUUUUGACGUUACCAACAGAAUAAGCACCGGCUAACUUCGUG